This is a long non-coding RNA of Vespa mandarinia (Asian giant hornet), 590 nucleotides long. The record is from RefSeq and is a predicted model, not a curated record. NCBI's taxonomy places the organism in Eukaryota, Metazoa, Arthropoda, Insecta, Hymenoptera, Vespidae.
GUUUACAUAGACUUGAUUUAAGCAACAAGCAUUAGACUAUAGUCCAUAUCUAGAUCAGAGUAAAAACAAUCCUUGUCUUACAUAGCAUUUUAUAGCUAACAAAUCCUAUGCAUCUUUAAUCAACUGCAAUAUAGGGUGCAUCAAGAUAUAAAAUAUUGCUGAAGUGAUGACAUGAGCACACACAACGUUGGAGGUCAACAAUAUUUGGUUAUGUUCGCCCCUUGCAUUGACAACGAGACACCAUAGAAAAUAUUGCAAACAAAUUUAUCAACGAUGUAACAUUAAAAAUUCAUUUAAUCAUUUCUCUGUUACAUAUUAAAAAUUUUGUAACAAGAGUAAAAUAUCUGUGAUUACGCACAUAAAAUUGCCUUUAUCUAGUGGUUGCUUAGCUCGGGGUUUAACGUAGUUUAAUCGAAAUUGGAGCAACAAGAGAUUAUUCCAAAUAAUAAUGCUGACUAUUGUCCAAUCAGAAAUAACUUGACCUUUUCUUAAAAGAUACACUUCAAGGAAAUUUAAGAUUUUCACGCACGAAUUACGGUAUUCAUCGAUAAUAACAUUAGAAAGACAUGUCAGAUGUGAGAGAAGCAAAA